RNAcentral lists this long non-coding RNA (2439 nucleotides) under Equus asinus (donkey). RNAcentral describes it as "lncRNA (ENSEASG00005027122.1)". Lineage: Eukaryota; Metazoa; Chordata; Mammalia; Perissodactyla; Equidae. The record is from RNAcentral.
GGGGGGGGGAUACCUGAGAUAGGACUUAGAGGAAGACGGGUCAGAUUUUUACAGGGAAGGAGGGCAGGGCCGAGGGGCAGUGGAGGAAGGAGGAAGAAGAGACUUGGAAAGCCUUGCACUUUGGGAACCAAAGGCCUUUGGGAGCAUGCGUCCAGCCCCUUGGGAGCAGUGGGGCCCUGCCUCGGUGUCCCACAAGUGAGGCGGUAAUCGUGGCAGUGGCUGACACUGGGCGGGGUCUGCUGGUUCACUCUGCCCAGGCCUGACUUUGUCCCUUUAAGGCCUUCUACAAAGGGUCUCUAUGGCAGAGCUUUUCGUGUUCCCAGCCCCAGCAGCCUCCCUAUUGGCCCCAGGGUGCCCCAAUAAUGUCAGCAUUUUCUGUGUGCGCCAUGAUGUGAAUGAAACCGGUUAGAGUCAUCAGAGACUGAGGUGUCCAAAUCUAAGGCUUCCUUCCAGCUCUUGGUUCCUGUGACUCCCAAACCCUUAGGGUGGAGCUAAGAGCAGAGAUGGAAGAAGUACAAGAGGAGAGGAAACUGGCCUGUUGACCGCGGAGACUGGCUCACAAGCCCCCAAACUACUAGGGGUUUUGUACAACACUGGUCCUUUGGCCUCUCAGUGGGUCAGAGUCCACCUCUCCUGGUAGCCUGGCUAGGACUGAGACCCCGGAAUGGGGACGUCUUCUCAGCCAGCACAGCUCACACCAGAACUCAUCCUACCUGGGGCUCCCCAAAGGAGCCCGCUUCCUAUUCCAGCUCCACCUGGAAAGUAGAGCAGGAACAAGGAGAAAAGGACUGAGUGCUACAGGGAGACGAUGUCUCCUUCGGACCUUGGUUUGCCCGUCUGUGAAAUGGGUGGUUAGAUUAGACGGUCCCUGAGGCCCCUUCCGUGGCUGACAGGCAGCACCAAGAGCAUUAGCCAAUUAACCCAGUCCCCUCCCUAGAUUGAUUUUGGUAACUUCUACCUUUGAAACCAUUCAAAGAUGCCCCAUUCCUAGGACAGAAGCACAACCGUUCUGAACUGAUUGAAGCAUGGGCUCAACUCCAGUCUGCCCUUUGGCCUCAGCCCCAAGCCAUGGCCAACCAGCCCUCCCCCAACCCACACCCCUCUGACAGAGCUCGCUAAGAACAGGACAGGAGAGAAAUCAGCCCUUCCUUCCCGUCUCUGGGCCUUCAUCUGCAAAAUGUGGGGGAAGCGAGGCUGAUCACGUGAGCGCCAAAGCCCUCUCCUUCAGGGGCCAUCCUUCUGGGACUCACCAAGCUCUUGGGGCCUGGGCCACAGCAGGCUGCCUGCGGAGGGGCUCCACUGGAGAUUCAGGCUGUCAUGUGAUAUUUGGUGGUGUGUGUUCUUGUGUGUUUGUUGGUUACAUGUGUCUUGAAAUUUAGAAUCAUUUCGCACAGAACUGUCGCUAUUUGUCGGGAAGCAAAACUGGGCUAGGAGAAGCCCAGUCCUAGGUUCUUGCCCUGUUACCAUUUAAAAUUGACAUUUAAUUUUUCAAAUCACUGUUGGUGCCUAAUCACUUAAGUUAUUAAUUUAUUCUGUUUUCUUUAAAAAAAAAAUUUGUAACACGUAUUUAUCCUGUGAGUAGGUCUGGGGUGGGGGGGGAACAUGUUCAACUGGGUCCUGUUUUUGCUGUGGUGACACAUGGUACAGACCUGGAGCUUACAGGUCCCUUUUUACUGUGGUGUUGGAGCAGGACAAUAAUAAAGUCCAUUAGAAGCAACCAGAGAAGACUGUUGGAGUCUGCCUCAUCAGAAGCAGCUGGGGGUGGAAGCCACAAAUUUGAAUCCCAGCCUGGGGGCUGUCCAUGUGUAGGCUUAAACACUUUUUUUUAAGAUUGGCCCUGAGCUAACUACUGCCAGUCCUCCUCUUUUUGCUGAGGAAGACUGGCCCUGAGCUAACAUCCGUGCCCCUCUUCCUCUACUUUAUAUGUGGGACGCCUAUCACAGCAUGGCUUUUGCCAAGCAGUGCCAUGUCCGCACCCGGGAUCCGACCAAGCAAACCCCGGGCCACAGAAGCGGAACGUACGAACUUAACUGCUGCACCACCGGGCCAGCCCCAUAAACACAUUCUUGACAAGAAAAUCAUCUCUCUCGUGGUCCCAGAAGGCAAUGUGCCAGUCUACUCCACUUUCAUCUUAAUAGAAAAUCAUUGGGUACUUUUCUUGGCUGGGAGCAGGAGUGACUCCUCCUUACCUUGGAAUCUGUAUUCCAGAUGUGUAGCAUGGGAAUUGCAGUAACAUCUGUCAGUUCAUCUCAGAAGGUGUACUGGACUGGGACUGUAGAGCGUGACUUGGUCUCUGACAGACUAUCGGCCCACUUUCGCUGGUCCCUAAGGUCUGACAUGUCAAGGGUCUAUGACGUUUGGGCCAAAACUCAACUCCUCCACCUUUAGCACAGGCAGGCAGCCCCUGGCCACACCACUGUCACCGCCUGCCUCCACACC